CAGCGGUUGUCCAAAUACCGCAGACACUAAAGAGGCACACCAUCAUUGCCCGCCGUGCGGAAUGGCAUCUUCCCAUUCUUAUAUCGAGGCAAAAUUCGCGAACCGGAUCAUCCGUGUUCACGUCUG
This is a non-coding RNA of Thalassospira sp. TSL5-1, 126 nucleotides long. NCBI's taxonomy places the organism in Bacteria, Pseudomonadati, Pseudomonadota, Alphaproteobacteria, Rhodospirillales, Thalassospiraceae. The record is from Rfam.